This 440-nucleotide ribosomal RNA is filed under the name uncultured bacterium. Its description in RNAcentral is "partial 16S ribosomal RNA". It matches the Rfam family "Bacterial small subunit ribosomal RNA", at positions 338 to 795 of the family's 1533-position model. The record is from RNAcentral.
CCUACGGGCGGCAGCAGUAGGGAAUAUUGCUCAAUGGGGGAAACCCUGAAGCAGCAACGCCGCGUGGAGGAUGAAGGUUUUCGGAUUGUAAACUCCUUUUGUUAGAGAAGAUAAUGACGGUAUCUAACGAAUAAGCACCGGCUAACUCCGUGCCAGCAGCCGCGGUAAUACGGAGGGUGCAAGCGUUACUCGGAAUCACUGGGCGUAAAGAGCGCGUAGGCGGGUUAGCAAGUCAGAUGUGAAAUCCUAUGGCUUAACCAUAGAAUUGCAUUUGAAACUGUUAUUCUAGAGUAUGGGAGAGGUAGGUAGAAUUCUUGGUGUAGCGGUAAAAUGCGUAGAGAUGAAGAGGAAUACUCAUUGCGAAGGCGACCUGCUAGAACAUAACUGACGCUGAUGUGCGAAAGCGUGGGGAGCAAACAGGAUUAGAUACCCCUGUAGUC